Molecule: ribosomal RNA, 429 nt
Filed under: bacterium
Lineage: Bacteria
Description: partial 16S ribosomal RNA
Rfam family: Bacterial small subunit ribosomal RNA
Source: RNAcentral
UAGGGAAUCUUCCACAAUGGACGCAAGUCUGAUGGAGCAACGCCGCGUGAGUGAAGAAGGUUUUCGGAUCGUAAAGCUCUGUUGUUGGUGAAGAAGGAUAGAGGUAGUAACUGGCCUUUAUUUGACGGUAAUCAACCAGAAAGUCACGGCUAACUACGUGCCAGCAGCCGCGGUAAUACGUAGGUGGCAAGCGUUGUCCGGAUUUAUUGGGCGUAAAGCGAGCGCAGGCGGAAGAAUAAGUCUGAUGUGAAAGCCCUCGGCUUAACCGAGGAACUGCAUCGGAAACUGUUGUUCUUGAGUGCAGAAGAGGAGAGUGGAAUUCCAUGUGUAGCGGUGGAAUGCGUAGAUAUAUGGAAGAACACCAGUGGCGAAGGCGACUCUCUGGUCUGCAACUGACGCUGAGGCUCGAAAGCAUGGGUAGCGAACAGG